AUCGCCUCCUGACUAGUUAAACAUAGGAGGUCCCGCCUGCCCUGUGAUUAGAAAUUCAACGGCCGCGGUAUUUUGACCGUGCAAAGGUAGCGCAAUCACUUGUCUUUUAAAUGGAGACCUGUAUGAAUGGCAUAACGAGGGCUUGACUGUCUCCCCCUCUCAGUCAAUGAAAUUGAUCUCCCCGUGCAGAAGCGGGGCUAACACCAUAAGACGAGAAGACCCUGUGGAGCUUUAGACAAUAAAUAGUGCCUGUAAAGAAUACCCUAUAAGCAUAUAAACAAACGGCUAUCCUAUUUUGAUGUCUUCGGUUGGGGCGACCGCGGGGAAACAUAAAACCCCCACGUGGAACAUGAAGAAAUUCUUUCAGCCAAGAGCACCUGCUCUAAGCAACAGAACCUCUGACCUAAAUUGACCCGGCUUUUGCCGAUCAACGGAACCAGUUACCCCAGGGAUAACAGCGCAAUCCUCUCCCAGAGCCCAUAUCGACAAGAGGGUUUACGACCUCGAUGUUGGAUCAGGACAUCCUAAUGGUGCAGCCGCUAUUAAGGGUUCGUUUGUUCAACGAUUAAAGUCCUACGUGAU
RNAcentral lists this ribosomal RNA (582 nucleotides) under Entomacrodus stellifer (stellar rockskipper). Its description in RNAcentral is "partial 16S ribosomal RNA". It matches the Rfam family "Bacterial large subunit ribosomal RNA", at positions 1815 to 2604 of the family's 2925-position model. Lineage: Eukaryota; Metazoa; Chordata; Actinopteri; Blenniiformes; Blenniidae. The record is from RNAcentral.